AGUGAACGCUGGCGGUAGGCCUAACACAUGCAAGUCGAACGGCAGCACAGUAAGAGCUUGCUCUUACGGGUGGCGAGUGGCGGACGUGUGAGGAAUACAUCGGAAUCUACUUUUUCGUGGGGGAUAACGUAGGGAAACUUACGCUAAUACCGCAUACGACCUACGGGUGAAAGCAGUGGAUCUUCUGACCUUUCGCGACUGAAUGAGCCGAUGUCGGAUUAGCUAGUUGGCGGGGUAAAGGCCCACCAAGGCGACGAUCCGUAGCUGGUCUGAGAGGAUGAUCAGCCACACUGGAACUGAGACACGGUCCAGACUCCUACGGGAGGCAGCAGUGGGGAAUAUUGGACAAAGGGCGCAAGCCUGAUCCAGCCAUACCGCGUGGGUGAAGAAGGCCUUCGGGUUGUAAAGCCCUUUUGUUGGGAAAGAAAAGCAGCAGGUUAAUACCCCGCUGUUCUGACGGUACCCAAAGAAUAAGCACCGGCUAACUUCGUG
This 492-nucleotide ribosomal RNA is filed under the name uncultured bacterium. RNAcentral's name for it is "partial 16S ribosomal RNA". It matches the Rfam family "Bacterial small subunit ribosomal RNA", at positions 29 to 507 of the family's 1533-position model. The record is from RNAcentral.